UAAGCAGAUCGAGCGAUUACUCUGGAACUAUGCCGCAAGGCUGAGGGCCAGAGAGGAAAGUCCGAACACUCGCGUUGAAGGUAUCAUAUGAGCUUUUAACAACUAGUAGCGGGUAACACCCGUCUAAGGUAACUUACGAGAUGCGAACAGUGACGCCGGCGCAGAAAUGCAAAGGAAUCCUACAAGCUUGCUUGAGGAUUAAUCACUGCAGAGAUGCAGAGGAUGAAACGGCUAAAUUCUUACUUGAGUGCAAGCCCAAAUUUGGUAGGGCGCACGAGCAGUUUGGUAACAAGCUGCCAAGAUUGAUUAUCGCUUAAAAACAAAAUUCGGCUUACGAGUCUGCUUGAAGC
This 350-nucleotide RNase P RNA is filed under the name bacterium. RNAcentral's name for it is "RNase P RNA component class A". It matches the Rfam family "Bacterial RNase P class A". Rfam says of the family: Ribonuclease P (RNase P) is a ubiquitous endoribonuclease, found in archaea, bacteria and eukarya as well as chloroplasts and mitochondria. Its best characterised activity is the generation of mature 5'-ends of tRNAs by cleaving the 5'-leader elements of precursor-tRNAs. Cellular RNase Ps are ribonucleoproteins. The record is from RNAcentral.